Molecule: ribosomal RNA, 253 nt
Filed under: uncultured bacterium
Lineage: Bacteria
Description: partial 16S ribosomal RNA
Rfam family: Bacterial small subunit ribosomal RNA
Source: RNAcentral
UACGUAGGGCGCAAGCGUUGCCCGGAAUUAUUGGGCGUAAAGAGCUCGUAGGCGGUUUGUCGCGUCUGCUGUGAAAACCUAAGGCUCAACCUUGGGCUUGCAGUGGGUACGGGCAGACUAGAGUGCGGUAGGGGUGACUGGAAUUCCUGGUGUAGCGGUGGAAUGCGCAGAUAUCAGGAGGAACACCGGUGGCGAAGGCGGGUCGCUGGGCAGUAACUGACGCUGAGGAGCGAAAGCGUGGGGAGCGAACAGG